UAGGAUGCCCGCCAAAGGUUUUGAAAACAUCUGAAGCCCCUGGUGGGGGUGGAGGAUGUUUGCUGGUUAUAGGGCCACUUUUGGUUCUGGACUGACUAAUGGGUUUGGACUUGAUUUGGCUGAUUUGUCUUGGAACAGGAAAAAUU
Molecule: long non-coding RNA, 146 nt
Organism: Gavialis gangeticus (Gharial)
Lineage: Eukaryota; Metazoa; Chordata; Crocodylia; Gavialidae
Exons: 2
Source: RefSeq, a predicted model, not a curated record